Molecule: unclassified non-coding RNA, 1693 nt
Filed under: Leishmania donovani
Lineage: Eukaryota; Euglenozoa; Kinetoplastea; Trypanosomatida; Trypanosomatidae
Description: gene:LdHU3.01.0930(CDS-product:hypothetical_prote in_conserved)
Source: RNAcentral
GCGCACGUGACCGGAGGCGCAACCGUCCACGCAUCCUCCUCCGCAUUCCUUUCUGCGUGCUUCAUACAUUCGGCAAAGUAUGCUCCUCUCCCGUCACCCCGACCUGCUCAUGUCGCGUGCCGCUUCCAUCCCAUCGGCCGCGGCGAGGUGGUGCUUGGCGCUUGCGCUGCCCUUGCCCACAGCGUCGUCGUUGUCCCUGCGCAGCGCUGCUACUGUUGUCGAGUCGCAUCAGGACGACAGGCCGAGACUCGCACCCGUGGCGGUGCUGUCGGCCAUUGCAUUGACCAACUCGCGCCGCCUCAGCGCCGCGCCACACUCGUUGCCCUUUCUCUACCGUCGACCCUCUGGCUUGCGGGCGCGCUGUAACAGCGGCAACGGGUGCAGGUCCAUUUUGUUAGCACCACCAUCGCCAGCGUCUGCCGGUGCGGCUGCCGCAUCCGUUAGCGUCACAACCCCGACGCCGUCCGCGUCAGCACCUGCACGGCGAGAGCGCCACGUCUGCCCCGAGUGUGGCAAACGCUUCCUGUGUGAGCCAAACCUUGCCCGCCAUCGUGCCACUCGCCACGGUGUGCAAGUCGCGUCUGCGAGCGAGGUGGCUCGAGCUCAGAUCGCCGCGCGCAACGCGCGGCUACAGCAGGAGCUUGCCCGCGUGCAGGCACGCGUGAGGCAGCUGCGCGAGGGCAGCGGCACCGCUGCCACAGCGGAGCUCGCCGUCGAUGCGGCCAGCGCCUACCCCAGCGCGGUGCUGACCGGGCGCUUGAUGGAGAUCGACGAGGCGGUAGAGCGGGCGUGGCGGCACAGCGGACGGGGGCUCGGCACCGGCGUAUCAUUUGUGAGCUGCGUCGGCACCGUGCGCGGUCCAGUGGAAGUCGGGACCCUGCGCGGGGCCACCCCUGCUUCCGCAUCUGAUAGUCCUGCUGCGGGGCCGCGCGUCCUGCAGUUUGUGCUAGAGGCGCACGGGUACCGGGAGCGCCGCCCUGGUCAGCUGAAGAUGUACCGGUCGCACCUCCUGGUCCGCUACGUCGCCUGGCAGCCGUACCACCGCUACGGCGAUGACGAUGGCGCGGGCAGCGCGGCAGCACCCCCUCCUCCCGCCACCGCGCCGCUCCUCUUCAAGGUGCAGGAGGGCGACCUCCUGCGCGUGCAGGGGCACUACGCGCUGCACAGCAGCUACGACAUGAUAUCGAAGCAGUCCGUGGAGAACGUCGUCUUGGAGGCGGACGCGGUCGGGAUGCUGCGGCCGGCACCCGCGAAGGAGGCUUCAAAAGCGCAGAGCGAGAGAGACGGCAGUCCGACGCAGCAGCCGUUUUUAUCGGCGCCACCGCCCUCGCGGUACGCUACUACGCCGACGGAUGAAGACCUCAUCAGCCGUGCCCAUGAUCGCUGCCCUGGCCAAGACUCAGCGAUGUCUGCAGCACCGCCUGCCGCCGCCGCGGCUGUGGCGUCUGCAGACGUGUUGUCGCCGAAACAGCGGCAGCCGAUACUGUCGGCCCGAAAGAAGACGACGACGAAGAGGUCAACGACGUCACCGCUCAAACCGCAAGCGCGGUAGUCACGCACGCCCGUGCCGGAGAGGGAAAGGCGGUGGUGGCGACGAUGAUAUGUGGUGCGCGGCCGGCAUCGUAAGAGAGGUCCUGUCGGCACGUCUUGCUCUUCUUCUUGCUGAAUGGCGCAAUGAGUAACGCACCUGUAC